This 211-nucleotide long non-coding RNA is filed under the name Elaeis guineensis (African oil palm). RNAcentral describes it as "long non-coding RNA (EGUI_LNC077242)". The record is from RNAcentral. Lineage: Eukaryota; Viridiplantae; Streptophyta; Magnoliopsida; Arecales; Arecaceae.
GCAUGAGGUCACUACCCUGCCCACCACCAUGGGUGCAGGUGUCAAUUUUUGGUUUGAAGACAAGGAUGCUAAUAGUUUGGAGGGCGACACAUUCAAACACUAGAACUUUGAUCACUUGCAUGCCAUAGUUUUUUGUUCGCCUUGAAUCAGUUAAAAUAAUGUUGAACCAAGAGUUACAAAAUGGUUGAUCAAUCAUAUUUCGAUGUUUUCC